CAGUAGAGGCUCGAAUGGAAUUUGCUUACAGUAGAUAUCCAGAGUAGAUUGCCUGCAGUGGGAGUUUGGCUCUCACAGGAGCUCGAUUGGAAUUCAGAAGGCGAUCGACUACCGUAGAGACUUGGAUGGGGUCUAGUUGCUGUAGAAAUCUCAUUGUCGGAGGAGCUCGGAUAUUGACGAUGUCCGGAAGAAGUUCGGAGUAGGGUUGUUCG
RNAcentral lists this long non-coding RNA (212 nucleotides) under Elaeis guineensis (African oil palm). RNAcentral's name for it is "long non-coding RNA (EGUI_LNC069673)". The record is from RNAcentral. Lineage: Eukaryota; Viridiplantae; Streptophyta; Magnoliopsida; Arecales; Arecaceae.